ACGGGUGAGGAAUACAUCGGAAUCUACUUUUUCGUGGGGGAUAACGUAGGGAAACUUACGCUAAUACCGCAUACGACCUACGGGUGAAAGCAGGGGACCUUCGGGCCUUGCGCGAUUGAAUGAGCCGAUGUCGGAUUAGCUAGUUGGCGGGGUAAAGGCCCACCAAGGCGACGAUCCGUAGCUGGUCUGAAAGGAUGAUCAGCCACACUGGAACUGAGACACGGUCCAGACUCCUACGGGAGGCAGCAGUGGGGAAUAUUGGACAAUGGGCGCAAGCCUGAUCCAGCCAUACCGCGUGGGUGAAGAAGGCCUUCGGGUUGUAAAGCCCUUUUGUUGGGAAAGAAAUCCAGCCGGCUAAUACCUGGUUGGGAUGACGGUACCCAAAGAAUAAGCACCGGCUAACUUCGUGCCAGCAGCCGCGGUAAUACGAAGGGUGCAAGCGUUACUCGGAAUUACUGGGCGUAAAGCGUGCGUAGGUGGUUGUUUAAGUCUGUUGUGAAAGCCCUGGGCUCAACCUGGGAACUGCAGUGGAAACUGGACAACUAGAGUGUGGUAGAGGGUAGCGGAAUUCCCGGUGUA
This 579-nucleotide ribosomal RNA is filed under the name Lysobacteraceae bacterium StRD630. RNAcentral describes it as "bacterial SSU rRNA". It matches the Rfam family "Bacterial small subunit ribosomal RNA", at positions 102 to 677 of the family's 1533-position model. Lineage: Bacteria; Pseudomonadati; Pseudomonadota; Gammaproteobacteria; Lysobacterales; Lysobacteraceae. The record is from RNAcentral.